ACGGGUGAGUAACGCGUGGGUAACCUGCCUUAUACAGGGGGAUAACAGUCAGAAAUGGCUGCUAAUACCGCAUAAGCGCACAGAGCUGCAUGGCUCAGUGUGAAAAACUCCGGUGGUAUAAGAUGGACCCGCGUUGGAUUAGCUUGUUGGCGGGGUAACGGCCCACCAAGGCGACGAUCCAUAGCCGGCCUGAGAGGGUGAACGGCCACAUUGGGACUGAGACACGGCCCAGACUCCUACGGGAGGCAGCAUG
This 253-nucleotide ribosomal RNA is filed under the name uncultured bacterium. Its description in RNAcentral is "partial 16S ribosomal RNA". It matches the Rfam family "Bacterial small subunit ribosomal RNA", at positions 102 to 353 of the family's 1533-position model. The record is from RNAcentral.